Molecule: ribosomal RNA, 301 nt
Filed under: uncultured bacterium
Lineage: Bacteria
Description: partial 16S ribosomal RNA
Rfam family: Bacterial small subunit ribosomal RNA
Source: RNAcentral
CAGCCGCCACGGUAAUACAGAGGGUGCGAGCGUUAAUCGGAUUUACUGGGCGUAAAGCGUGCGUAGGCGGCUUUUUAAGUCGGAUGUGAAAUCCCUGAGCUUAACUUAGGAAUUGCAUUCGAUACUGGGAAGCUAGAGUAUGGGAGAGGAUGGUAGAAUUCCAGGUGUAGCGGUGAAAUGCGUAGAGAUCUGGAGGAAUACCGAUGGCGAAGGCAGCCAUCUGGCCUAAUACUGACGCUGAGGUACGAAAGCAUGGGGAGCAAACAGGAUUAGAUACCCGUGUAGUCCCUGUCUCUUAUAA